AUGAACGCUAGCGACAGGCCUAACACAUGCAAGUCGAGGGGCAGCACAAGGAGCAAUCUGAGGUGGCGACCGGCGCACGGGUGAGUAACACGUAUGCAACCUGCCUGUAAGCGGGGAAUAACCCGUUGAAAGACGGACUAAUACCGCAUAAUACUAAAUUACUGCAAUGGUAAUUUAUUUAAACAUUUAUGGCUUACAGAUGGGCAUGCGCAUGAUUAGCUAGUUGGAGAGGUAACGGCUCCCCAAGGCAACGAUCAUUAGGGGUUCUGAGAGGAAGGUCCCCCACACUGGUACUGAGACACGGACCAGACUCCUACGGGAGGCAGCAGUGAGGAAUAUUGGUCAAUGGACGAGAGUCUGAACCAGCCAAGUCGCGUGCAGGAAGAAUGUCCCUAUGGAUUGUAAACUGCUUUUGCAGGGGAAUAAAGUGCAUCACGUGUGAUGUUUUGUAUGUACUCUGCGAAUAAGGAUCGGCUAACUCCGUGCCAGCAGCCGC
This 496-nucleotide ribosomal RNA is filed under the name uncultured bacterium. RNAcentral describes it as "bacterial SSU rRNA". It matches the Rfam family "Bacterial small subunit ribosomal RNA", at positions 29 to 518 of the family's 1533-position model. The record is from RNAcentral.